GUCCUUGCCGUAAACGAUGUAUACUUGAUGUAAUUGGGCUCAACCCUGAUUGUGUCGUAGCUAACGCGAUAAGUAUACCGCCUGGGAGUACGCUCGCAAGGGUGAAACUCAAAAGAAUUGACGGGGCCCGCACAAGCAGUGGAGCAUGUGGUUUAAUUCGAUGCAACGCGAAGAACCUUACCCAGGCUCGAAAAUGUAAUAGACGUAACCAGAGAUGGUUAUUUCCGCAAGGACUGUUAUAUAGGUGCUGCAUGGCUGUCGU
Molecule: ribosomal RNA, 262 nt
Filed under: uncultured bacterium
Lineage: Bacteria
Description: partial 16S ribosomal RNA
Rfam family: Bacterial small subunit ribosomal RNA
Source: RNAcentral